RNAcentral lists this ribosomal RNA (1068 nucleotides) under uncultured Glomus. RNAcentral describes it as "partial large subunit ribosomal RNA". It matches the Rfam family "Bacterial large subunit ribosomal RNA", at positions 786 to 1851 of the family's 2925-position model. The record is from RNAcentral. Lineage: Eukaryota; Fungi; Glomeromycota; Glomeromycetes; Glomerales; Glomeraceae.
CCGUUGCAAGGGACUCCGAAGAGCUGUGGCAAGUGGUGAAAAGCCAAUCUAACCUGGAGAUAGCUGGUCUUCUGCGAAACCCGUUUUAGCGGGUCGCCCAUUUAUUGAAAUUAAAUUCGUUACUAGACGGUACGGCACUGGAAGCCACGCGGCUUUUGCUGCAUAAUCGGGGGGCUGUCAUGGCUCUAUCGAUGGCUUCUAACCCCGGAAAUGUAUAGUAUACAAUGAUGGGCAAUCAGACGUAUCGUGAUAAGGCGAUUCGUCAAAAGGGCAACAGCCCAGAACAGGUGUGAAGGUCCCUAACGAGCUACUGAGUGAACACAAGGCAGUCCUUACCAGUGUCUCUCCACAAAGUGGGCUUGGAGGCAGCCACCUUUUAGCGAUAGCGUAACAGCUCAGUGGUCUGAGCCUCCCUGUACAAAAGGGUAUAUUGCCUGGUGAGGGCGCCAAAAAUGUAACGGGUCUAUAGUAGUUGUCUCUCUGUUCCAGCUUUGGAUAUGGAGGGAGUGGCAGUUUCUUCACUGUCUCACCGAAACCCUGUCCUAGAUGUAAAAUUCUAGGGGUAGCAGAAUACCCAGCAAAUGGAAUGAAGCUUGCUCAUUGAGCCGGUGGACAUAGCUGGGCUAAGAAUGCUGACAUGAGUAGCCUAAAAGGAGGGUAAUUCCCUCUUCGCCGAAAGCAGAAGGGUUUCAUUUGUAAGGUUUAUACCUAGAUGAUUAAAGCAGCGGCCUCUAAGGUUCAGAGUAACAAAUUAGUUCCGAUGAGUAACUCUUCUAUAGGGCAGUAACCUUCCUUAUAAGUUUACCUUCAAGUAAUUAGAGGUAUACUUCAAAGAGUAAGGUUCAGGAAAGAGCCCUAUAGUAACUUAAAACCGUACCCUAAACCGACACAGGUCUGCAAGUAGAGCAUACUAAGGCGUAGAGAUAAUCGUCUUGAAGGAACUCGGCAAAAUGACCCCGUAACUUCGGGAGAAGGGGUGCCACUAAUAAGUGGCGGCACUAAACAGGGGGGCGCGACUGUUUACUUAAAACACCGGACUCUGCUAACACUAGCGUGGAUGUAUAGAGU